GAGUUUGAUCAUGGCUCAGAACGUACGCUGGCGGCACGCCUAACACAUGCAAGUCGAACGAAGUAGCAAUACUUAGUGGCAGACGGGUGAGUAACAUGUAGGUAUCUGCCCUUUGGCCUGGAAUAACACGAGGAAACUUGUGCUAAUACCGGAUAAGUCUUUACGGAGAAAGCUUUAUGCACCAUUGGAUGAGCCUGCACUUGAUUAGUUUGUUGGUGGGGUAAUGGCCUACCAAGACUGUGAUCAAUAGCUGAUUUGAGAGGAUGAUCAGCCACAUUGGGACUGAGACACGGCCCAAACUCCUACGGGAGGCAGCAGUGGGGAAUCUUGCACAAUGGAGGAAACUCUGAUGCAGCGAUGCCGCGUGAGUGAAGAAGGCCCUUGGGUUGUAAAGCUCUUUCGUCGGGGAAGAAAAUGACUGUACCCGAAUAAGAAGGUCCGGCUAACUUCGUGCCAGCAGCCGCGGUAAUACGAAGGGACCUAGCGUAGUUCGGAAUUACUGGGCUUAAAGAGUUCGUAGGUGGUUGAAAAAGUUAGUGGUGAAAUCCCAGAGCUUAACUCUGGAACUGCCAUUAAAACUUUUCAGCUAGAGUAUGAUAGAGGAAAGCAGAAUUUCUAGUGUAGAGGUGAAAUUCGUAGAUAUUAGAAAGAAUACCAAUUGCGAAGGCAGCUUUCUGGAUCAUUACUGACACUGAGGAACGAAAGCAUGGGUAGCGAAGAGGAUUAGAUACCCUCGUAGUCCAUGCCGUAAACGAUGUGUGUUAGACGUUGGAAAUUUAUUUUCAGUGUCGCAGCGAAAGCGAUAAACACACCGCCUGGGGAGUACGACCGCAAGGUUAAAACUCAAAUGAAUUGACGGGGACCCGCACAAGUAGUGGAGCAUGUGGUUUAAUUCGAAGAUACGCGCAGAACCUUACCAACACUUGACAUGUUCGUCGCGACUCUAAGAGAUUAGAGUUUUCGGUUCGGCCGGACGAAACACAGGUGCUGCAUGGCUGUCGUCAGCUCGUGUCGUGAGAUGUUGGGUUAAGUCCCGCAACGAGCGCAACCCUCACUUUUAGUUGCCAUCAUUAAGUUGGGCACUCUGAAAGAACUGCCAGUGAUAAGCUGGAGGAAGGUGGGGAUGACGUCAAGUCCUCAUGGCCCUUACGUGUUGGGCUACACACGUGCUACAAUGGUAUCUACAACAGGAAGCAAAACGGCAACGUUAAGCAAAUCCCGAAAAGAUACCUCAGUUCGGAUUGCACUCUGCAACUCGAGUGCAUGAAGCUGGAAUUACUAGUAAUCGUGGAUCAGCGUGCCACGGUGAAUGCGUUCCCGGGUCUUGUACACACCGCCCGUCACACCAUGGGAGUUGGUUCUACCUUAAGGCAAGGUUUUAAACCCUUGACCACGGUAUAGUCAGCGACUGGGGUGAAGUCGUAACAAGGUAACC
Molecule: ribosomal RNA, 1435 nt
Filed under: uncultured marine bacterium
Lineage: Bacteria
Description: bacterial SSU rRNA
Rfam family: Bacterial small subunit ribosomal RNA
Source: RNAcentral